This 422-nucleotide ribosomal RNA is filed under the name uncultured Pedobacter sp. Its description in RNAcentral is "bacterial SSU rRNA". It matches the Rfam family "Bacterial small subunit ribosomal RNA", at positions 355 to 774 of the family's 1533-position model. The record is from RNAcentral. Lineage: Bacteria; Pseudomonadati; Bacteroidota; Sphingobacteriia; Sphingobacteriales; Sphingobacteriaceae.
UAAGGAAUAUUGGUCAAUGGGGGCAACCCUGAACCAGCCAUGCCGCGUGCAGGAAGACAGCCCUAUGGGUCGUAAACUGCUUUUAUUGGGGAAUAACCUCCUGUAUGUAUACAGGACUGAAUGUACCCAAGGAAUAAGGAUCGGCUAACUCCGUGCCAGCAGCCGCGGUAAUACGGAGGAUCCAAGCGUUAUCCGGAUUUAUUGGGUUUAAAGGGUGCGUAGGCGGCCUAUUAAGUCAGGGGUGAAAGACGGUGGCUCAACCAUCGCAGUGCCUUUGAUACUGAUGGGCUUGAUUGCAGCUGAGGUAGGCGGAAUGUGACAAGUAGCGGUGAAAUGCAUAGAUAUGUCACAGAACACCGAUUGCGAAGGCAGCUUACUAAAGUGUAAAUGACGCUGAGGCACGAAAGCGUGGGGAUCAAACA